AAGGGAGACCUAAUUCAGGUAUGGGACGAAAAAAAAGUAGUCGCUACCAAGAAUCAAUCCCAAAAGGUCGGAGCGAGGUAUGAGGCUUUCAAACUAGGUUCUGGGUUCAAACAAGACCUGAAUCAGGAACAAGGGCUAUUAGCUCAGGUGGUUAGAGCGCACCCCUGAUAAGGGUGAGGUCCCUGGUUCGAGUCCAGGAUGGCCCACCUGCACAGGUGGCAAAAACAAGAGAAGCUCCGAAUCAGCACCUUAUCUUAUCUAUAUAUAAGAGAGAAUGCUGGCUCUGAGUAAAGAGUCCAGAGGAACCUUGAAAACUGCAUAGAGCUAGGUGAAAAAGCCAAAAAAGAAGACCGCAA
This 356-nucleotide transfer RNA is filed under the name Microcystis aeruginosa. Its description in RNAcentral is "16S-23S ribosomal RNA intergenic spacer". The stretch from base 133 to 206 matches the Rfam family "tRNA". Lineage: Bacteria; Bacillati; Cyanobacteriota; Cyanophyceae; Chroococcales; Microcystaceae. RNAcentral also lists the same sequence under 1 other name. The record is from RNAcentral.